This 504-nucleotide ribosomal RNA is filed under the name uncultured delta proteobacterium. RNAcentral describes it as "bacterial SSU rRNA". It matches the Rfam family "Bacterial small subunit ribosomal RNA", at positions 8 to 490 of the family's 1533-position model. The record is from RNAcentral. Lineage: Bacteria; Deltaproteobacteria.
AGAGUUUGAUCCUGGCUCAGAUUGAACGCUGGCGGCGUGCUUAACACAUGCAAGUCGAGCGAGAAAGUUCUCUUCGGAGAAUGAGUAGAGCGGCGCACGGGUGAGUAACGCGUGGAUGAUCUACCCUGAAGAUCGGGAUAACAGUUGGAAACGACUGCUAAUACCGUAUAAUCUGCAUAUUUAACUUUAUGUGGGAAAGGUGGCCUCUAUUUAUAAGCUACCACUUUUGGAUGAGUCCGCGUCUCAUUAGCUUGUUGGUGGGGUAAUGGCCUACCAAGGCUACGAUGAGUAGCUGGUCUGAGAGGAUGAUCAGCCACACUGGGACUGAAACACGGCCCAGACUCCUACGGGAGGCAGCAGUGGGGAAUAUUGCGCAAUGGGGGAAACCCUGACGCAGCGACGCCGCGUGUAGGAAGAAGGCCUUCGGGUCGUAAACUACUGUCAAGAGGGAAGAAACUGUAAGGUCAUAAUACGUCCUUUCACUGACGGUACCUCUAGAGGAAG